GGCAACCAAGUGUUUCUGCUGUAUGGGUAAAAUAGUUUAGAAACUUUGAUAUUUAAGUGGUUAGCAAUUUAUGGUUAUGGUUACGGUUACGGUCAUGGUCAUGGUCAUUUUCGGGCUCGCAAACUAUGAGUCCAUUAGAGUAAUAUAUAAAGUAAUAAUGAGAAUUUCCCUCUCAUUGAGUCUAAUCAUAUCAAUGAGCAGGGGAAGUUGUCUGUAUAUAUUAGACAUGUUAGUUUUUAAUGUACUACUAUCAUGUGUGUAUGAACUCUGUUGAGCAAUUGUACUGAGGAACUACUUCAGCUUGUGGUUUCAUGUCAUUGGUGUGUGAUAUUGUUAAAUUUAAAGGCAAAUAUUCU
RNAcentral lists this unclassified non-coding RNA (356 nucleotides) under Hevea brasiliensis (rubber tree). Lineage: Eukaryota; Viridiplantae; Streptophyta; Magnoliopsida; Malpighiales; Euphorbiaceae. The record is from RNAcentral.